This 440-nucleotide ribosomal RNA is filed under the name uncultured bacterium. RNAcentral's name for it is "partial 16S ribosomal RNA". It matches the Rfam family "Bacterial small subunit ribosomal RNA", at positions 338 to 795 of the family's 1533-position model. The record is from RNAcentral.
CCUACGGGAGGCAGCAGUAGGGAAUAUUGCUCAAUGGGGGAAACCCUGAAGCAGCAACGCCGCGUGGAGGAUGAAGGUUUUCGGAUUGUAAACUCCUUUUGUUAGAGAAGAUAAUGACGGUAUCUAACGAAUAAGCACCGGCUAACGCCGUGCCAGCAGCCGCGGUAAUACGGAGGGUGCAAGCGUUACUCGGAAUCACUGGGCGUAAAGAGCGCGGAGGCGGGAUAGCAAGUCAGAUGUGAAAUCCUAGGGCUUAACCAUAGUACUGCAUUUGAAACUGUUAUUCUAGAGUAUGGGAGAGGUAGGAGGAAUGCUUGGUGUAGGGGUAAAAUCCGUAGAGAUCAAGAGGAAUACUCAUUGCGAAGGCGACCUGCUAGAACAUAACUGACGCUGAUGCGCGAAAGCGUGGGGAGCAAACAGGAUUAGAUACCCCAGUAGUC